AUGGAGGCUCUGUAUCAACUACAGACACCUCAACACCAUAACCUACAUCGCCAAGUACCCUGUGCCUAUCAUCGAAGAGUUGUUGGACGAGUUGCACGGCGCAACCUAGUUUUCCAAACUGGAUCUUCGCUCAGGCUAUCACUAGAUUCGCUGUCACGGAAGGUGAGGAGUAUAAGACAGUGUUCCAGACGCACUCAGGCCACUAUGAGUUCUUGGUGGUAUCUUUCGGGCUAG
This 234-nucleotide ribosomal RNA is filed under the name Triticum aestivum (bread wheat). RNAcentral's name for it is "partial small subunit ribosomal RNA". The record is from RNAcentral. Lineage: Eukaryota; Viridiplantae; Streptophyta; Magnoliopsida; Poales; Poaceae.